This 468-nucleotide ribosomal RNA is filed under the name uncultured bacterium. Its description in RNAcentral is "partial 16S ribosomal RNA". It matches the Rfam family "Bacterial small subunit ribosomal RNA", at positions 28 to 507 of the family's 1533-position model. The record is from RNAcentral.
GACGAACGCUGGCGGCGUGCUUAACACAUGCAAGUCGAACGGAAAGGCCCUGCUUUUUUGGUGUUCUCGAGUGGCGAACGGGUGAGUAGCACGUGAGUAACCUGCCCUUGACUUUGGUAUAACUUCAGGAAACUGGGGCUAAUACCGGAUAGGAUCUCCUGCUGCAUGGUGGGGGUUGGAAAGUUUCGGCGGUUGGGGAUGGACUCGCGGCUUAUCAGCUUGUUGGUGGGGUAGUGGCUUACCAAGGCUUUGACGGGUAGCCGGCCUGAGAGGGUGAACGGCCACAUUGGGACUGAGAUACGGCCCAGACUCCUACGGGAGGCAGCAGUGGGGAAUAUUGCACAAUGGGCGGAAGCCUGAUGCAGCAACGCCGCGGGCGGGAUGACGGCCUUCGGGUUGUAAACCGCUUUCGCCUGUGACGAAGCGUGAGUGACGGUAAUGGGUAAAGAAGCACCGGCUAACUACGUG